AGAGUUUGAUCCUGGCUCAGAACGAACUCUGGCGGCGUGGAUAAGACAUGCAAGUCGAACGAGAGAAUUGCUAGCUUGCUAAUAAUUCUCUAGUGGCGCACGGGUGAGUAACACGUGAGUAACCUGCCCCCGAGAGCGGGAUAGCCCUGGGAAACUGGGAUUAAUACCGCAUAGAAUCGCAAGAUUAAAGCAGCAAUGCGCUUGGGGAUGGGCUCGCGGCCUAUUAGUUAGUUGGUGAGGUAACGGCUCACCAAGGCGAUGACGGGUAGCCGGUCUGAGAGGAUGUCCGGCCACACUGGAACUGAGACACGGUCCAGACACCUACGGGUGGCAGCAGUCGAGAAUCAUUCACAAUGGGGGAAACCCUGAUUGUGCGACGCCGCGUGGGGGAAUGAAGGCCUUCGGAUUGUAAACCCCUGUCAUGUGGGAGCAAAUUAAAAAGAUAGUACCACAAGAGGAAGAGACGGCUAACUCUGUGCCAGCAGCCGCGGUAAUACAGAGGUCUCAAGCGUUGUUCGGAAUCACUGGGCGUAAAGCGUGCGUAGGCUGUUUCGUAAGUCGUGUGUGAAAGGCGCGGGCUCAACCCGCGGACGGCACAUGAUACUGCGAGACUAGAGUAAUGGAGGGGGAACCGGAAUUCUCGGUGUAGCAGUGAAAUGCGUAGAUAUCGAGAGGAACACUCGUGGCGAAGGCGGGUUCCUGGACAUUAACUGACGCUGAGGCACGAAGGCCAGGGGAGCGAAAGGGAUUAGAUACCCCUGUAGUCCUGGCAGUAAACGGUGCACGCUUGGGGUGCGGGGAAUCGACCCCCUGCGUGCCGGA
This 822-nucleotide ribosomal RNA is filed under the name uncultured bacterium. Its description in RNAcentral is "bacterial SSU rRNA". It matches the Rfam family "Bacterial small subunit ribosomal RNA", at positions 8 to 850 of the family's 1533-position model. The record is from RNAcentral.